CUUAGGCACACUUAACACACACACUUACCGGCACAGGCUUUCUGGGUGCUGCUUCGGCAGUGGGAAGAUGGGGUAGGUGGAGGUUAAAC
This 89-nucleotide small RNA is filed under the name Nitrincola sp. A-D6. RNAcentral describes it as "t44 RNA". It matches the Rfam family "t44 RNA". From Rfam's summary of the family: This family consists of a number of bacterial RNA genes of between 135 and 170 bases in length. The t44 gene is found between the map and rpsB genes in all species in the full alignment apart from Shigella flexneri. The record is from Rfam by way of RNAcentral. Lineage: Bacteria; Pseudomonadati; Pseudomonadota; Gammaproteobacteria; Oceanospirillales; Oceanospirillaceae.